Molecule: ribosomal RNA, 453 nt
Filed under: uncultured bacterium
Lineage: Bacteria
Description: partial 16S ribosomal RNA
Rfam family: Bacterial small subunit ribosomal RNA
Source: RNAcentral
AUGAACGCUGACAGAAUGCUUAACACAUGCAAGUCAACUUGAACUUCGGUUUGGGUGGCGGACGGGUGAGUAACGCGUAAAGAACUUGCCUCACAGAUAGGGACAACAUUUGGAAACGAAUGCUAAUACCUGAUAUUAUGAUUUUAGGGCAUCCUAGGAUUAUGAAAGCUAUAUGCGCUGUGAGAGAGCUUUGCGUCCCAUUAGCUAGUUGGAGAGGUAACGGCUCACCAAGGCGAUGAUGGGUAGCCGGCCUGAGAGGGUGAUCGGCCACAAGGGGACUGAGACACGGCCCUUACUCCUACGGGAGGCAGCAGUGGGGAAUAUUGGACAAUGGACCAAGAGUCUGAUCCAGCAAUUCUGUGUGCACGAUGAAGUUUUUCGGAAUGUAAAGUGCUUUCAGUUGGGAAGAAAAAAAUGACGGUACCAACAGAAGAAGUGACGGCUAAAUACGUG